RNAcentral lists this ribosomal RNA (607 nucleotides) under uncultured bacterium. RNAcentral's name for it is "bacterial SSU rRNA". The stretch from base 1 to 520 matches the Rfam family "Bacterial small subunit ribosomal RNA", at positions 338 to 873 of the family's 1533-position model. The record is from RNAcentral.
CCUACGGGAGGCAGCAGUGGGGAAUAUUGGACAAUGGGCGAAAGCCUGAUCCAGCAAUGCCGCGUGAGUGAUGAAGGCCUUAGGGUUGUAAAGCUCUUUUACCAGGGAUGAUAAUGACAGUACCUGGAGAAUAAGCUCCGGCUAACUCCGUGCCAGCAGCCGCGGUAAUACGGAGGGAGCUAGCGUUGUUCGGAAUUACUGGGCGUAAAGCGUACGUAGGCGGUUAUUCAAGUCAGAGGUGAAAGCCUGGAGCUCAACUCCAGAACUGCCUUUGAAACUAGAUAGCUAGAAUCUUGGAGAGGUGAGUGGAAUUCCGAGUGUAGAGGUGAAAUUCGUAGAUAUUCGGAAGAACACCAGUGGCGAAGGCGACUCACUGGACAAGUAUUGACGCUGAGGUACGAAAGCGUGGGGAGCAAACAGGAUUAGAUACCCUGGUAGUCCACGCCGUAAACGAUGAUAACUAGCUGUUCGGGCUCUACGGAGCUGUGUGGUCGCNGACUACGACAUUAAGUUAUCCGUCCGUCGGGUAGGUACGGUCGCAGAAUUAAACUAACAAAGAAGUAGACGGCGUGAGACGUGCCGAACGGACGACGACGAGGGAGGUAGG